Molecule: long non-coding RNA, 2876 nt
Organism: Felis catus (domestic cat)
Lineage: Eukaryota; Metazoa; Chordata; Mammalia; Carnivora; Felidae
Exons: 2
Source: RefSeq, a predicted model, not a curated record
UAGAGAGAGAGGGAGAGAAACAAUCCCAAGCAGGCUUAGCACCGAGCGCAGAGCCUGGCACGGGCUCAAUCUCAUGACAGUCAGAUUAUGACCUGAGUCGAUAUCAAUAGUUGGAUGCUCUUGUAGGAAAAAUAUCGUAUUUUUGGAGAUAAAGUGUGUGGAGUGUUACACUUCUGACAAACACUAGGUAAAAUACGCAGGGGAGAUCCAAGCUAAAGACGAUCUGUAAGUCUAAGAAAGACUAUACACCUAGCUCCAACAAAGCAAAACAAGAAAAAAAUAUAAUUAUCUUUGAGACACUUAACAACGAAAAACAUGGUUUUGCCACCUGGUUUCCUGAAUCCCUUUAGUAUUACUGGCAUAAACUGGGGAGCAGGGUGGGUUAAGGACAAGGGUGAUACAUGCCUUUUAUUAGCCAUUCAAAACCUCAGCUGUGGGCUUGCCACUGCCACAGUCCAUAUGACAAGGGACCAGCCACCCCCAUUUCACCUGUGCUUAUUCCCUGGUUACUCUGUAAUAAGGUUUAACUAGGAAGGCCCACCCAGAAACAAGUCAGCAGUAGACUGAGGAGGGUGUUGGGAGGUGGGGGUGAUGGUGAGGGGCAAGGCAAGUUAAUUAAAAAGAAGAUUUAAAUGUCAAGUUUGCAUAUGAUCAAGCGGCAAGAGCCAGAAAAGGUCUCCCCUUAUAGAAGUAUUUUUAUAAAACAGUCCUUUGCCUUGAAGGGAUAUUGUAAGAAAAAAAUCUCAUGAAAUGUACUAUUGUACUUGCUACAAAAGUGUGGAUGGUACAGGCCACUUACAGCGAUCCACUGAAAAACGUCCCAUCAGACUCUGCACUGAGAAGAGCUGUACUGGACCCAGACUUGCUAAUAAUUGUAUUUUCUUUUCUGCUUUUAUCACUAGGGAACGCAGGGCUAAAGAGUCAGCUGCAUAGACUAGCAACUGCUGAGGACUUGGUGGCACACAUUUAUGCUUGAAGAGUGGGAUAGGGAGACGAUGAGAGGAGGGACAGGGCCUCUGGGAUGGCAGCUUGUGCGCUGAAGACCCGUUUAGCUGGUUUGUGCCCUGCCUAUGCAGGCUCCUGCCCUAUCACCUCCAGGCCUCGUGAGCAGAAGACCCAGUUCUACGGUUUAACAAGUAUCUCUGGAGUCCCUGCUAUUAUCAGGCCUGAGGCACAAAGAUGAACAAGAAGAGCCUAACGUCCCAGCAUCUGUGGGGCAUGAAAACCCCGCAAAAAGGUUUCACCUUCUCCAGUGCUGAUAAAAUAAUAUAUGGUUGUUAUUGUGCCUCAGCAGCCUCUCAAGCUCUGCUUAUUAGCCAGGGCAGGCCUCGUUUGCAACAUGCUCUCACAUCGUCUACAUAAACCAACAGGACGUCCCUGCUAUUGCAACAUUUUGGGGCCCAGAUUACACCCUUGCACAUGAGACAUGGAAGCGUCAGGUCGGCACGCUCUCCGGAAUGCCUCCUCCGUGCGCCUCAGUCGUGUCGACCGAUAAGCUUCCGCGUGAACCCUGCAGAACCGCUGUGUCACAUUCACGGUGGUGUGAUUCUGUUAGACCGUGAGCUACCUGAACACCGGCGCGGUGUCUUGGUCACUCUUCUGUCCCCCAUGCUCCAUAUCCAGCAAACGCUCAAGAAACCGCUGCCGAACAACCACAUACUCUGGUCUAUUUGGAACUGUCCAUUUUAGGUGUCUGAACCCACAGUCGCUUGGCUCUCCUGGUCCAAUGUGAAAUCACUGGCCCUUGUCUUCCUGUUUCAGGAACUCGGGACCUGUAAAGAUUUUUUGUGAUUUCUGGCAUAUCUGCCCUAUAUCUCAGAGAAGACGUCAAUUUCAUUUUAUCUAAUUCGCUUUCGGAGCAAGGAUUAUUUUUAAAAUAUCAAAAAUAUAGGUAUCAACCCUUUUAAGAGGUAGGAAAAUUUACCAAGCAAGUGGGGACUUGUAGUUAAAAGCCUCUUUCUGGUGUUGCCUUAGUACUUCCGAGGGCAGACCUUCCACUUGGUGUGACUGUGGCCUGUGGGGGGGAGACCGGGCCUGCUCCCCAUGUGUGGCUGGUGGUUAAGAGCCUACACACUGAAGCCAUCUGCCUAAGCCCAAACCUGACAUCGCCAGCCACCAGACUACACUCGUAGACAAGUUACCUGUUCUGCGCUGGUUGGUUUUUUCGUUUUUCUUUUGUAAUGUGGGAUAAGCUAAUAGCUGUGCCACAGAAGGUGGCUGGGAUUGGGAAGUGAUGCAUACAGCACUUGGGAAAUGCCCAGGGAGCUGUAAGUUCUCAUUUGGGGUUAUUUAUUGGACGAGGCACACAAGGGCCCUGCAUGUACCACCACACCCAGAGUCAGUCUAACACGGGACUCUGGUCGUGCACACCUCCUCCUAAUGUGGCCAAUGAAAGGGAAAGAAAGCAGACAUAGAGCGCAGUGCAGUCCAAAGUGGCAAAGGUGGCAAAGGAAGGGGUGUCAGAGAGAGGGAGUGGGGGGAAAGCUUUACAAAAAGGAGAGCUCCCCAAGGACGGGGCCUCUGUCUUCUCCUGCUUACAGGCACCCGCACUGGAUUUGGCAUGUGUGAAAUAAUUGCCUGCGGGUGAGAUGCAGGAAGGGACGGGAAGGGCAAGCAAGCAUUUCUCUUGGUCACAUGCUCACAGGAGCUUUCUCAAGCCCUCUGCGGUGCAGCAGGAACACAGGCACGGACUCUGGCAGACCUGGGCUCCAUCAGGAUUCUGCAACAACUAGCCGAGGGCCUCUGGCCAACUUAUUUAGCUUUUCUCAGUCUCUGUCAUUAUCUGUAAACUCUACAUUGCAGAACUGUUGUGAGGACCGGAGGUAACAUGUGGGCCUGGUGCCUAUUUGAUGUUCAAUAAACGGCAGUGAUUACUG